UCCGUAGGUGAACCUGCGGAAGGAUCGUUAUUGAAUGAAUAUAGAGUUGGUUGUCGCUGGCUCCUCCGGGAGCAUGUGCACGCCUUCUCUUUCAUCCACACACACCUGUGCACUUGUGAGACGGAGGACCGUAAAAAAGUCUUCCGUCUAUUAAACCACACAAACCCCAUUGUAUUUAAAUUGAAUGUAAUUGAUGUAACGCAUCAUUAGAACUAAGUUUCAACAACGGAUCUCUUGGCUCUCGCAUCGAUGAAGAACGCAGCGAAAUGCGAUAAGUAAUGUGAAUUGCAGAAUUCAGUGAAUCAUCGAAUCUUUGAACGCACCUUGCGCUCCUUGGUAUUCCUUGGAGCAUGCCUGUUUGAGUAUCAUGAAAUUCUCAAAGUAAAUCUUUUGUUAAUUCAACUGGUUUGCUUUGGAUUUGGAGGUUUUGCAGAUUUCACAGUCUGCUCCUCUUAAAUAAAUUAGCUGGAUCUCAGUAUAUGCUUGGUUCCACUCGGCGUGAUAAGUAUCACUCGCUGAGGACACUGUAAAAAGGUGGCCAGGAAAUGCAGAUGAACUGCUUCUAAUGGUCCAUUAAAUUGGACAAAUUAAAUUUAUGAUCUGAUCUCAAAUCAGGUAGGACUACCCGCUGAACUUAAGCAUAUCAAUAAGCGGAGGA
Molecule: ribosomal RNA, 658 nt
Filed under: uncultured Ceratobasidiaceae
Lineage: Eukaryota; Fungi; Basidiomycota; Agaricomycetes; Cantharellales; Ceratobasidiaceae
Description: eukaryotic LSU rRNA
Rfam family: 5.8S ribosomal RNA (bases 215-368)
Source: RNAcentral